CGGAGUCUCAGUGACAAAAAGCUCCCGCUCGGUGCCCAGCGCCUGGCGGCGGUGUCCGACCGCGAACGCAGAGGGCGGCCACGCAGGUGGGGGUGUAGCCCGAAGGGCCGGGCCGGGAGCUGGGGCUGCAGGCUCCGCCGCUGCGCUGUCAGCGCCUGCCCCGUGGCUCUCGGCUGGAGGAGCGGCGGCCGCCUGCCCGGGGCGCGCGUCUGGCUGAGAGGGGCUGGCGCGUCGGGACCACCUGCCGAUGCUGUCGCCGCCGCCGCCGCCUCUGUAGCGAGCGCCCAAGCCCGCCGCGGAGAAAGGCUGAAGAAAGCUCAGUCUCAAUUGUGUUUCCUGCCUGUCAGCCUCUUGCCUCCUAAACGCGUACCAUUUCCACUUGAUGUCAUCAUGCAGAAGGGGGUGAAAGAGACUCGGUGACGGAUUCAGGUUUACAGCAACCCCUGAAGGCCAACCUCUACAGUGGGCAGCAUGUUCUGAAUGCCUGUGCUGGCUGCGAGGAAAAUGGGGAGAGGAGCCAGGAAAAGCGCAACUGCCCACAUUACCGUGAAUCUCCUCGGACAGCUUUGUAAGUGAGGAGCUGGGGUAUCUGAAUUGCCCCAGGAGGCUCGUUAAGUUCUAAGAAGGUGAGCAAAAUUGAUUUAAUAUAUUAUUUGUGUUAGCUAGCAUAUUCAUUUAAGGUUAAAUUUACAUAAUAGUAAAGUUGUAUUUUUAUGUGUGUUUUGUGUAUUUUUAUACUACAGUGGGGGUUCCUUAUAGAAUUAGUGUGCUCUGGACGUUCGUGGCCAUUUUAUAGGAUUUAGGAGCAGUAUUUUACAUUUUAAAUGAUUACUGUGAAUCCAGUUGUUAUUUUUAUUUUUCCUGCUGCAUUGCUGGUAAUAUCUAGGUUUAUCUGAUGCUG
This 901-nucleotide long non-coding RNA is filed under the name Macaca nemestrina (pig-tailed macaque). RNAcentral's name for it is "lncRNA (ENSMNEG00000046022.1)". The record is from RNAcentral. Lineage: Eukaryota; Metazoa; Chordata; Mammalia; Primates; Cercopithecidae.